UACGGGAGGCAGCAGUGGGGAAUAUUGCACAAUGGGCGCAAGCCUGAUGCAGCCAUGCCGCGUGUAUGAAGAAGGCCUUCGGGUUGUAAAGUACUUUCAGCGGGGAGGAAGGCGAUGCGGUUAAUAACCGCGUCGAUUGACGUUACCCGCAGAAGAAGCACCGGCUAACUCCGUGCCAGCAGCCGCGGUAAUACGGAGGGUGCAAGCGUUAAUCGGAAUUACUGGGCGUAAAGCGCACGCAGGCGGUCUGUUAAGUCAGAUGUGAAAUCCCCCGGGCUUAACCUGGGAACUGCAUUUUGAACUGGCAGGCUUGAGUCUUGUAGAGGGGGUAGAAUUCCAGGUGUAGCGGUGAAAUGCGUAGAGAUCUGGAGGAAUACCGGUGGCGAAGGCGGCCCCUGGGACAAAGACUGACGCUCAGGUGCGAAAGCGUGGGGAGCAAACAGGAUUAGGAUACC
RNAcentral lists this ribosomal RNA (455 nucleotides) under uncultured bacterium. RNAcentral's name for it is "bacterial SSU rRNA". It matches the Rfam family "Bacterial small subunit ribosomal RNA", at positions 340 to 786 of the family's 1533-position model. The record is from RNAcentral.